Bactrocera neohumeralis is the source of this 675-nucleotide long non-coding RNA. RefSeq lists it as uncharacterized. Lineage: Eukaryota; Metazoa; Arthropoda; Insecta; Diptera; Tephritidae. The transcript has 2 exons. The record is from RefSeq and is a predicted model, not a curated record.
ACCAAAAGGAGAAUACGGAGACGACAAUUGCGACGCAACUUCGGCCUUACCAUAUUGAAGAAUUACUAUUUCCCUUCUUUAAAAGAAAAAUGCUAUGACUAUGAUCCACCAUGUAGCUCUACCACAGAUUCCAGUUAAAGUUUCUAUGAGGUGCUUAAGGUUCAAUUGACAAUUAUAAACGAAACUCUUGUGUUCGAGCGAUCGUUCAUGCCAAAGGUUUUAUGAAUUGCACGGUGUGUACGAGUGCUAUUUUUUCAAUGGAUUGGCCUCCUGGGAAAGUCAUGUUGCAUUAGUAAUACGGCAACAUUGAUGAAUUAUUUUUUCAUUGGUGAUAUUUUAUGACUUUUUCAACAAUGUAUGUAAAGCAGUGAAUAACACCUACAGUUUUAUUAAUUCUGACAAUUCCAUUAUAAAUAGUUUAUAACAUUAUGUGUAAUAGAAUGGCGACUUAAAAAUUAUAUUAACAUGUCUGGAUUAAACUGUUAAUUAUCACGAAACUUUAUUUAAUUGUUAUAUUAAUAUAUAAUUUUUAAACCUGCCGAUAGGGUUACCACUGCGAAAAACUUUUAAAUUCCGCCCAAAUUAUUUCAAAAGCUGACAAUUUUUAAUUAAAAAAUUAAGAUCUAUUGUACUUUUGAAAAUAUUAAAUACAUAAUAAAUUCGGUAAUAAGUAUA